UGAGUAACCUGCCCUUAACUCUGGGAUAAGCCUGGGAAACUGGGUCUAAUACCGGAUACUCCGGCUGGAUCGCAUGGUCCGGCCGGGAAAGGUCCGCCGGAGAGGGAUGGGCCCGCGGCCUAUCAGCUUGUUGGUGGGGUCAUGGCUCACCAAGGCGACGACGGGUAGCUGGUCUGAGAGGAUGGCCAGCCACAUUGGGACUGAGACACGGCCCAGACUCCGUACGGGAGGCAG
RNAcentral lists this ribosomal RNA (234 nucleotides) under uncultured bacterium. Its description in RNAcentral is "partial 16S ribosomal RNA". It matches the Rfam family "Bacterial small subunit ribosomal RNA", at positions 118 to 351 of the family's 1533-position model. The record is from RNAcentral.